This 464-nucleotide ribosomal RNA is filed under the name uncultured bacterium. RNAcentral describes it as "partial 16S ribosomal RNA". It matches the Rfam family "Bacterial small subunit ribosomal RNA", at positions 28 to 507 of the family's 1533-position model. The record is from RNAcentral.
GACGAAUGCUGGCGGCGUGCUUAACACAUGCAAGUCGAACGGAAAGGCCCUGCUUGCAGGGUACUCGAGUGGCGAACGGGUGAGUAACACGUGGGUGAUCUGCCCUCCACUUCGGGAUAAGCCUGGGAAACUGGGUCUAAUACCGGAUAGGAGCCAUUUUUAGUGUGAUGGUUGGAAAGUUUUUUCGGUGUAGGAUGAGCUCGCGGCCUAUCAGCUUGUUGGUGGGGUAAUGGCCUACCAAGGCGGCGACGGGUAGCCGGCCUGAGAGGGUGGACGGCCACAUUGGGACUGAGAUACGGCCCAGACUCCUACGGGAGGCAGCAGUGGGGAAUAUUGCACAAUGGGCGCAAGCCUGAUGCAGCGACGCCGCGUGGGGGAUGACGGCCUUCGGGUUGUAAACUCCUUUCGCUAGGGACGAAGCUUUUGUGACGGUACCUAGAUAAGAAGCACCGGCUAACUACGUG